RNAcentral lists this ribosomal RNA (484 nucleotides) under uncultured bacterium. RNAcentral describes it as "partial 16S ribosomal RNA". It matches the Rfam family "Bacterial small subunit ribosomal RNA", at positions 30 to 507 of the family's 1533-position model. The record is from RNAcentral.
AUUGAACGCUGGCGGCAGGCCUAACACAUGCAAGUCGAGCGGAUGAAGGGAGCUUGUUCCUGGAUUCAGCGGCGGACGGGUGAGUAAUGCCUAGGAAUCUGCCUGGUAGUGGGGGAUAACGUCCGGAAACGGGCGCUAAUACCGCAUACGUCCUGAGGGAGAAAGUGGGGGAUCUUCGGACCUCACGCUAUCAGAUGAGCCUAGGUCGGAUUAGCUAGUUGGUGGGGUAAAGGCCUACCAAGGCGACGAUCCGUAACUGGUCUGAGAGGAUGAUCAGUCACACUAGAACUGAGACACGGUCCAGACUCCUACGGGAGGCAGCAGUGGGGAAUAUUGGACAAUGGGCGAAAGCCUGAUCCAGCCAUGCCGCGUGUGUGAAGAAGGUCUUCGGAUUGUAAAGCACUUUAAGUUGGGAGGAAGGGCAGUAAGUUAAUACCUUGCUGUUUUGACGUUACCAACAGAAUAAGCACCGGCUAACUUCGUG